RNAcentral lists this ribosomal RNA (357 nucleotides) under uncultured bacterium. Its description in RNAcentral is "bacterial SSU rRNA". It matches the Rfam family "Bacterial small subunit ribosomal RNA", at positions 29 to 350 of the family's 1533-position model. The record is from RNAcentral.
AACGAACGCUGGCGGCGUGGAUUAGGCAUGCAAGUCGAACGAGAUUCUGCCUUACAAGUCUUCGGAUGAGUAAGGUAGAUGACAGUGGCGAAAGGGUGAGUAAUGCGUGGGUAAUCUGCCUUUAAGUUUGGGAUACCCCUGCGAAAGACGGGGUUAAGUACCGGAGUGUGGUGAGUCUUCGCAUGAAGAAUGAAUCCAAAGGACGGGCGGCAAGCCUGUCACUUAAAGAAUGAGCCCACCGUCCUAUCAGCUUGUUGGUGAGGUAACGGCUCACCAAGGCUUACGGGUAGGCUGGUCGUGAGAGGAUGGUCAGCCACACUGGGACUGAGACACUGCCCACGACUCCUACGGGAGGCU